UUACGACCAUAUCACGUUGUAACACAGGUUCCCAUACGAUCACCAAAUUUAAGCAACAUCGAGUCUGGCCAGUACUUAGAUGGGCUACCUACUGCUUAGGAAUACCAGGUUUUGUAAG
This is a non-coding RNA of Acanthosepion pharaonis, 118 nucleotides long. The record is from the annotation of a GenBank genome assembly. Lineage: Eukaryota; Metazoa; Mollusca; Cephalopoda; Sepiida; Sepiidae.